This is a non-coding RNA of Pelobates cultripes (western spadefoot toad), 335 nucleotides long. The record is from the annotation of a GenBank genome assembly. NCBI's taxonomy places the organism in Eukaryota, Metazoa, Chordata, Amphibia, Anura, Pelobatidae.
AAAAAAAAAACAAAAAAAAACUGAGGGCGUACUAUUACGCCCUGCGGCGUUUAGAGCCGCUUAGAAUAGGGCAUAAUAGUACGCCCUCCGGUUGUAAGAGGUUAAAGGGAAACUCCAGUGCAAGGAAAACAAUCCGUUUUCCUGGCACUGCAGGUCCCCUCUCCCUCCCACCACCCAUCCCCCGGUAGCUGAAGGGGUGAAAACCCCUUCAGGUCACUUACCUGAGACCCUGCCGAUGUCCCUCGGCGGUGGUUACUGCUCGCCGCUGCUCCUCCCACACGCCGGCUGCGGAAACCUAACGUGUGGCAAUGACGCGCAUGCGAGCUCUCCAUAGG